RNAcentral lists this ribosomal RNA (466 nucleotides) under uncultured bacterium. RNAcentral describes it as "bacterial SSU rRNA". It matches the Rfam family "Bacterial small subunit ribosomal RNA", at positions 329 to 792 of the family's 1533-position model. The record is from RNAcentral.
GUCCAGACUCCUACGGGAGGCAGCAGUGAGGAAUAUUGGUCAAUGGGCGGAAGCCUGAACCAGCCAAGUCGCGUGAGGGAAUAAGGCCCUACGGGUCGUAAACCUCUUUUGCCGGGGAGCAAGGGCGGGGACGUGUCCCGGCCCGGAGAGUACCCGGAGAAAAAGCAUCGGCUAACUCCGUGCCAGCAGCCGCGGUAAUACGGAGGAUGCGAGCGUUAUCCGGAUUUAUUGGGUUUAAAGGGUGCGUAGGCGGAAUGCCAAGUCAGCGGUAAAAUCGCGGGGCUCAACCCCGCCCAGCCGUCGGAACUGCCGGGCUAGAGUGGGCGAGAAGUGCGCGGAAUGCGUGGUGUAGCGGUGAAAUGCAUAGAUAUCACGCAGAACUCCGAUUGCGAAGGCAGCAUACCGGCGCUCAACUGACGCUCAUGCACGAAAGCGUGGGUAUCGAACAGGAUUAGAUACCCGCGUA